Small nucleolar RNA from Echinops telfairi (small Madagascar hedgehog), 70 nucleotides. RefSeq annotates it as small nucleolar RNA U2-30. The record is from RefSeq and is a predicted model, not a curated record. NCBI's taxonomy places the organism in Eukaryota, Metazoa, Chordata, Mammalia, Afrosoricida, Tenrecidae. The transcript has a single exon.
GAGCAAUGAUGAGAACAUUUUUCUACUGACCUAGAUAACCUUGAAGGUUUCUACACUUGACCUGAGCUAA